This 76-nucleotide transfer RNA is filed under the name Siphonobacter aquaeclarae. RNAcentral's name for it is "tRNA_Met_CAT". It matches the Rfam family "tRNA". From Rfam's summary of the family: Transfer RNA (tRNA) molecules are approximately 80 nucleotides in length. Their secondary structure includes four short double-helical elements and three loops (D, anti-codon, and T loops). Lineage: Bacteria; Pseudomonadati; Bacteroidota; Cytophagia; Cytophagales; Cytophagaceae. The record is from RNAcentral.
CGCGGGAUGGAGCAGUAGGCAGCUCGUUGGGCUCAUAACCCAAAGGUCGCAGGUUCGAGUCCUGCUCCCGCUACUA